Molecule: ribosomal RNA, 253 nt
Filed under: uncultured bacterium
Lineage: Bacteria
Description: partial 16S ribosomal RNA
Rfam family: Bacterial small subunit ribosomal RNA
Source: RNAcentral
GACGUAGGGGGCCAGCGUUGUUCGGAAUUACUGGGUGUAAAGGGUUCGUAGGCGGUGUGGCAAGUCGGGAGUGAAAUCUCUGGGCUCAACCCAGAGUCUGCUUCCGAAACUGCUGUGCUUGAGUGUGGGAGAGGCGCGUGGAAUUGCAGGUGUAGCGGUGAAAUGCGCAGAUAUCAGGAGGAACACCAAUGGCGAAGGCAGCUCGCUGGGACGUGACUGACGCUGAGACGCGAAAGCGUGGGGAGCAAACAGG